UGGGGAAUAUUGCACAAUGGGCGAAAGCCUGAUGCAGCAACGCCGCGUGAACGAUGAAGGCCUUCGGAUCGUAAAGUUCUGUUGCAGGGGAAGAUAAUGACGGUACCCUGUGAGGAAGCCCCGGCUAACUACGUGCCAGCAGCCGCGGUAAUACGUAGGGGGCUAGCGUUAUCCGGAUUUACUGGGCGUAAAGGGUGCGUAGGUGGUCCUUCAAGUCGGUGGUUAAAGGCUACGGCUCAACCGUAGUAAGCCGCCGAAACUGGAGGACUUGAGUGCAGGAGAGGAAAGUGGAAUUCCCAGUGUAGCGGUGAAAUGCGUAGAUAUUGGGAGGAACACCAGUAGCGAAGGCGGCUUUCUGGACUGCAACUGACACUGAGGCACGAAAGCGUGGGUAGCAAACAGGAUUAGAUACCCUGGUAGUCCACGCUGUAAACGAUGAGUACUAGGUGUCGGGGGUUACCCCCCUCGGUGCCGCAGCUAACGCAUUAAGUACUCCGCCUGGGGAGUACGCACGCAAGUGUG
This 522-nucleotide ribosomal RNA is filed under the name uncultured bacterium. RNAcentral describes it as "bacterial SSU rRNA". It matches the Rfam family "Bacterial small subunit ribosomal RNA", at positions 355 to 896 of the family's 1533-position model. The record is from RNAcentral.